UGGGAACCUUCCCUAUGGUUCGGAAUAGCUCAGGGAAACUUGGGGUAAUACCGGAUAAGCCCUUCGGGGAAAGAUUUAUCGCCAUUGGAUGGGCCCGCGUCGGAUUAGCUAGUUGGUGAGGUAACGGCUCACCAAGGCAACGAUGCGUAGCCGACCUGAGAGGGUGAUCGGCCACAUUGGAACUGAGACACGGUCCAGACUCCUACGGGAGGCAG
Molecule: ribosomal RNA, 215 nt
Filed under: uncultured bacterium
Lineage: Bacteria
Description: partial 16S ribosomal RNA
Rfam family: Bacterial small subunit ribosomal RNA
Source: RNAcentral